GCAGCUUUCAGGCUGUCAGUGUGACCAUGCCCGCACUCAGAAGAGGGAGACCAAAAGACUGAUCAUAGAUUACUUCUGGAUGUUUGGUUGAAUUUUUUACUUCAGUCUCCAUUUAAUGUGAUUCAGGCAACAAAUUUACUUGGCUGAGUUGAAGAAGCUCGAUCAUUUCACGUGUCUCUGUGAGAUAAGCAUGUGAAAGCUACACAGGCAGCUAACACUGGAUUUUAUACUCAUUGCUCUUCUUUCCAUACUACAAAAUCACUUUUUUGGUCAUUUUUACAUCAAACAAUGGGAUCUGUUAAUUUGUAGUUUAGAUAAAUAAUAUUUGUUAAAAUCUUUAACCAAAAAGUAAAACAGAGGUUGUUGAUGGAAACACCAACAGCAAAAAAAAAAGCACUUUUUUUGCUGUUGUGGUUGUUUUUGUGGGUAACUGGUGGUUUGCCCAUUUUCUGUUUAAACUGUGGUUUCAGCUGUCAGCUCAGAGUCAGAGCUGUAAAUCUGUUUCCCGUCACCUAACCCAACACUCAGGUGAACAAUGAGAAAAAAAACAUCAGGCAACAAGUGCAUCAAAUCAGUCUGCAAGAUUUACAAUACACAUCACUGCCAGACCCAGUGCAACAACAGAAAGAUUCUCUUAUCACAAAUUGACAUCAACAUUUGCACGAUGGCGGUUUGGUGUUUCUGUACAGCAGAGAGGAAGGCAGUCAGAAAGGUCAGCUAGAAAACUCAUAUUUACAGAAUAAGUACUAGAACCCGAACUGCUCACACCACCAGCCAGAUGUGCAUGCAGAGGAGCGUCCUGGCUUACAUGGAAACACACGGGUCCGUGGACAGGAACGCACAGAUACUGAGCAUGCUCACUGUUUUCCUCAUCCUCUUCUUCUUCAUGACAGCUGCAAAUAUAAAUCGUUCACAUCUUUUCAGAAGAAAAGCCCCGCCCACUGUCUGUGGCUAACACAUGUUCAGGGCUGUAGCCAGCAGAUCACAAACUACUGAUGUGGGGUAAAAGGAAAUAUAUCAUUAUUUCAAAAAAUGAAAACAAGAAUAAAAAGAUAAUUAAAAAUCGAACAAAUAAAAUCCAUGAAAUGAAAUAAAAAAAAAAAAAGAUAAUUUCGCUGUUGUAGCACGUACACCUCAAGAUAAACUUUCCCAUUCACCAACACUAAUAAAUAAUAAUAACAAAAAAUAUGAUGACUGAAAGAAAAUAACGUGAAAAUAAUAAUAAUAAUAAUAAUAAUAAUAAUAAUAAUAACAGUAAUAAUAAUAAUAAUGCAUUACAUGAUAUAUUUCAUCACUGGGUGCAGGCUGUAAAUAUCUGCUGUCCCACCCAUGAUAGGACAAACGCUGAAGUCUUUAGCGACAAACAGCCUCCACCCAGGACAAAUAUGUACUUAUAAAAGAGACUCAGAAGACUGCAAAACAAAUGGCGAGUCCCAACCUUCAACAUGUCCUCAGAACAUUUUCUACAAACACAGAGGGUCUGUCAGGUUCAGAAGUGUGACAGUGUGAUGAUAAACCCUCCGUCACCAUCCGUCUCAUCCUGGUUUCUACUGGGACAGGUUUAGUCUAACUUAGCACAAAGACUGCAAGCCCAGCUAACUGAAUUCCAGUGAUUGGAGAUAAAGUUCAAAUCAGCUGAGGACCUCUGAGCCUAAACUAAACGCUGUGUCUGAUGCUUUAUGUAUUUUCUACAUUAUCUUUCAAAGGAGUACGGUAGACCUAAUAUGAAAGUAAUGCAGGUAAUUUAAAAGGUUAAAACUUGAUUAAAACACAAGUCUGGUUAGCUCAGAUUAAGCUUCUGGCUCUAAAGUCCACCUCCAGACAGUCAAAUUCAGCUAAAUGGACUAGUAACUGACUAAGAGGAUUCAACAUAUAAUGAAUGUGAAGCGUUGACCCCAGCUGCCAGUCUCUGUGCUAA
Astatotilapia calliptera (eastern happy) is the source of this 1918-nucleotide long non-coding RNA. The record is from Ensembl. Lineage: Eukaryota; Metazoa; Chordata; Actinopteri; Cichliformes; Cichlidae.